Molecule: transfer RNA, 79 nt
Filed under: Candidatus Geothermarchaeota archaeon
Lineage: Archaea; Thermoproteati; Candidatus Geothermarchaeota
Description: tRNA-Ala
Rfam family: tRNA
About the family: Transfer RNA (tRNA) molecules are approximately 80 nucleotides in length.
Source: RNAcentral
GGGCCCGUGGCCUAGCUGGGAUCAGGGCGUCGAACAGGCGAGCCGAAGAUCCGGGGUUCGAAUCCCCGCGGGCCCGCCA